Molecule: long non-coding RNA, 527 nt
Organism: Ochlerotatus camptorhynchus
Lineage: Eukaryota; Metazoa; Arthropoda; Insecta; Diptera; Culicidae
Exons: 3
Source: RefSeq, a predicted model, not a curated record
UCGAAUUCAAAUCACGUCCCGGCAAGGACGAUGAAUUCUACCUAUAUUAAUGUUUUAAUUUAAAGUACCCUGACGCCACAAUGACAGGGUCAGUAGAUUGAUAGUCUGUGCUGAUUGUCGUUGGUCUCGUGGGCAGCAUUCCUGGAAUUGCACUGAGUGCUUCCAAUGGCAGAAGUAAUACAGCAAGAUUGCUGUAGCAUAUGGUGCUGCCGGAAUAAGGAUUCGAAAUAUUUGCAGAACAACUAUUCUGGGAAUGUACAUACAUAAGAACAGCCAACGCUAGAUAUAGUGAAUAAAGUGUCUAGAGUAUUUUAGAUGAUACAAUGUCGGUGAAAUUGCAUUUAAUUUGAAUUCAUAUAAUCCUGUGUAGUGCUUUCUACUGUGUGCAACAACUGGUCACGUUUAGAAUGAAAUUUUUCUGAGAGCUGUAACCGAGAUUUGUCUGGAUUACGAUUUUCCAAUUCAACUCACAUCAACAGAUACCCUUUGACUUUCUCUAUACGGACUUUAAAAACAUAUUCGUAAGU